UCGGUGUGUACAAGACCCGGGAACGUAUUCACCGCGACAUUCUGAUUCGCGAUUACUAGCGAUUCCAGCUUCGUGUAGUCGGGUUGCAGACUACAGUCCGAACUGGGACGUUAUUUUUGGGAUUUGCUCCACAUCACUGUCUCGCUUCCCUUUGUUUACGCCAUUGUAGCACGUGUGUAGCCCAAAUCAUAAGGGGCAUGAUGAUUUGACGUCAUCCCCACCUUCCUCCAGGUUAUCCCUGGCAGUCUCCCUAGAGUGCCCGGCUCUACCUGCUGGCUACUAAGGAUAAGGGUUGCGCUCGUUGCGGGACUUAACCCAACAUCUCACGACACGAGCUGACGACAACCAUGCACCACCUGUCUCCCCUGUCCCGAAGGAAAGGCCGCGUUACCGGCCCGUCAGGGGGAUGUCAAGACUUGGUAAGGUUCUUCGCGUUA
RNAcentral lists this unclassified non-coding RNA (437 nucleotides) under uncultured bacterium. RNAcentral describes it as "contains 16S-23S intergenic spacer region". The record is from RNAcentral.